AAAUAUAACAUUUCCUUCCUUUCUUUUUACAGAUUUAAGCAUGUACGCAGGUGAGACAAACGGACGUCAGCCACGACGUGAUCAGCGAGUCGGUGUCGGCAUCAUCGGCUUCUCGGCGGGUUUCUUCCUCCACGUGAUCGCCAUGAUGACGCCCUACUGGGUGGUGCUCGACCACUCCAACUACAACGGCCUGUGGUAUGGGUGCAAACUGUAUAGUUUCGAGCAGUACUGUAGAUACAUCCCGACCAGGAACAAUUCUGCUGAGGAGUCGAUGUCGUUGUUGGCGCUAGCAUGUUGUAUUUUCACUUUGAUUGGUAUUGCGCACCACUCUUGGAAACGAAACCGAAAGUCCCUCCUUGUGUUGACUGGAUGCAUACUAUUAUCUGAUUUAAGCAUGUACGCAGGUGAGACAAACGGACGUCAGCCACGACGUGAUCAGCGAGUCGGUGUCGGCAUCAUCGGCUUCUCGGCGGGUUUCUUCCUCCACGUGAUCGCCAUGAUGACGCCCUACUGGGUCGUGGUCGACCACUCCAACUACAACGGCUUGUGGUAUGGGUGCAAAAUGUUUAGUUUUUGAGCAGUACUGUAGAUACAUCCCGACCCUGAACAAUUCUGCUGAGGAGUCGAUGUCGUUGUUGGCGCUUGCAUGUUGUAUUUUCACUUUGAUUGGUAUUGUGCACCACUCUUGGAAACGAAACCGAAAGUCCCUCCUUGUGUUGACUGGGUGCAUACUAUUAUCUGGGGUGUUUGCCCUACUCACGGUCAUCCUGUUUGGAGUCAAGCAUCCAAAAUAUCUGAGUUGGUCGUUCAAACUGGAUUGUGCCUCGGCAGCCAUUUUGCUGCUUUCUGCGGGAAUCUGUCUGUCCGGUAUUGGACAGGAACAGUAUGAGAUGCUCUUAUAGAAACCGAUUAAAAAACGAUUUGUGGACAGAAGCGAUUUAUCGCCAGGGAAGUGAUAUGUGCAUUCGCUAGGAAGCGAUUUAUUGAUCCACAUAUAAUAUGUGUGUGCGUGAAUGUACCUACAUUUACGUGUGUAUAUUUUUGUAAGAGUGUGCGCUUGUGUGCGCUUGUGUGCGUACGUGUGCGUACGUGUGCGUGUGCUGGCGUUGGUAUAAUACCAACCUCUUCCUUCUCUUCAUCAUCAUGAUGAUCAUCGUCAUCCCCAUCAUAAUCAUAAAUAAAAUAUAAGUUUGCAUUGUCA
Molecule: RNA transcript, 1201 nt
Organism: Gigantopelta aegis
Lineage: Eukaryota; Metazoa; Mollusca; Gastropoda; Neomphalida; Peltospiridae
Exons: 5
Source: RefSeq, a predicted model, not a curated record